GCUGGGCAUGGUGGCACACACCUGCAAUCCCAGCUACUUGGGAGGCUGAGGCAGCAGGAUUGCAUGAGCCCAGGAACUUAAGACCAGCCUAGGCAAUAUAGAAAUUAGCAUU
Molecule: small RNA, 112 nt
Filed under: Marmota monax (woodchuck)
Lineage: Eukaryota; Metazoa; Chordata; Mammalia; Rodentia; Sciuridae
Source: RNAcentral